GGGCACUUGGCACAGUUGGUAGCGCGCACGCUUCGCAUACUUUCGUUUGCGUGAGGUCAGGAGUUCGACUCUCCUAGUGUCCA
This is a non-coding RNA of Rhodocollybia butyracea, 83 nucleotides long. Lineage: Eukaryota; Fungi; Basidiomycota; Agaricomycetes; Agaricales; Omphalotaceae. The record is from the annotation of a GenBank genome assembly.